Molecule: long non-coding RNA, 602 nt
Filed under: Elaeis guineensis (African oil palm)
Lineage: Eukaryota; Viridiplantae; Streptophyta; Magnoliopsida; Arecales; Arecaceae
Description: long non-coding RNA (EGUI_LNC018119)
Source: RNAcentral
CCAUCCUCAUAUAUGAAAACUUUCAUAUUCUCCCAUCCUCAUAUAUGAAAACUUAUAAUAUAAACUCAAUAUAUGGCUCUUAUCCUUAAGACGAUAUUCAAUUUGUAAAAUAAGAAUCUUUCAUGGUUGAGAUGACUUGUAUGAUUUGAAAAAUAAGAAUUUUUGAGGUCAAAACUAUAUAAAUAAACCAAAAUAAGUUCAUUGCUUUUUCCCAAAAUUUGUUUGGUCUACAACUUGUAAAAAAGUUCAUUUCUUUUUCCCGAAUUUGCUUGGUAUAUAGGAAAAAGAUUCUUCUUUCUCCAUCAAUUUUCAGCUUAGGAGAAAUAUCAGGAAGUUGAUCUGAGCUGUAAUAAGCUAUCAGACAGAGAUGUGGAUUCAAUUGGUUGACAUUAGGGUCUGCAGUUUCGGUGCCGAUACUGAGCCAGUACCUGAUCGUUAUGAUAUGGUACCUAACUUGACUGUAUCGAUACUCGGUAUGAAACUUGUAGCGAUUCAAUACUUGUACAGCAUUUUUUGACUGUUUUUAUUUUUCCCAUUUUCUUGUUUUCGAAAAUUAUUUUAAGGCUUAUGCAUGUUUAAAAAUUAAAAGUACUGUAGUGUAC